Long non-coding RNA from Alosa sapidissima (American shad), 657 nucleotides. RefSeq lists it as uncharacterized. NCBI's taxonomy places the organism in Eukaryota, Metazoa, Chordata, Actinopteri, Clupeiformes, Clupeidae. The record is from RefSeq and is a predicted model, not a curated record. The transcript is spliced from 3 exons.
CGUUAACUAUCGCCUAAACAUGAGUCUGUCACAUCUAAACAGCGAGGAAAAUCGGAGAUACGAGGAGAAAAUUGCGUGUAUUGGGUGUGAUCCGUAUACAGUACCGGGAGAGUUUUUUUAAAUCAGUUUUGUCCACCAACACACUGCCUGACAUCCACUUCCACAAUAUUUACAUUUACCUCAUACAUCAUCGUACACCGGAGCAUGGCAUAAAGCUUAAGAGCACGGAGGCGUACAGGUAUUUUGUUGCGGGCUGGGUCCUUGACCCGAAAAUAUGUCUCUUCAAGAAGAAGCACUUUCUUGUCAAAGGAAGGGUGAACCACUCAAGCUGUCAACACAACCCCCACACAGCCAUGGAUCGUGGUCCAUGAGGAUGGGACCAUUCUUGCGGCCCACUGCACCUGCAAGGCGGGACUGGGUGAAGCUUGUUCACAUGCAGCUGCCCUCAUGUAUGCCCUCUUAGCUGCCGUUGAACAAAAAGACAAUGUGUCCUGCACGGACAUGCCCUGUGCCUGGGCCCCGCCAAGUAAGACCGGCAAGAUGGGGAAAUAAGAAUGAGCCCACAGCAAGGACACAGUACAUCACAGCGAUGCAAGGGCACACAGAUCUUCAAGUGCAGACAUCAGGCCUGAUCAUCAACACAUCUUGGCCAUGGAU